CUUUUUGAUAAUAAUUUAAAGUCUGAUCUGCCCACUGAGAAAUUAAAUGGCCGCGGUAUUUUGACCGUGCAAAGGUAGCAUAAUAAUUAGUUUUUUAAUUGAAAGCUGGUAUGAAUGAUUGAACGAGAAAAUAACUGUCUCUAUUUAAAUUAAUUAAAAUUUUAUUUUUAAGUUAAAAAGCUUAAAUAUAUUUUAAAGACGAGAAGACCCUAUAGAGUUUAAUAUACUUUAUAAUAGAUUAUUUUUGUAAAUUUUUAUUAUAUCUUAUAUUUUGUUGGGGUGAUAGAAAAAUUUAAUUAACUUUUUUUAAAUUAAAACAUUAAUUUAUGAUUUAUUGAUCCAUAAAAAUGAUUAAAAGAUUAAAUUACCUUAGGGAUAACAGCGUAAUUUUUUUUAAAGUUCUUAUUAAAUAAAAAGUUUGCGACCUCGAUGUUGGAUUAAAAUUUAUUUUUGGUGAAGAAGCUAAAAAGUUAAGUCUGUUCGACUUUUAAAAUUUUACAUGAUCUGAGUUUAAACCGGUGUGAGCCAGGUUGGUUUCUAUCUUAAAAUAAUUUAAAUAUUUUAGUACGAAAGGACCAAAUAUUUAUAAUAAUUAUUUAAUUUUGAUUAAUAUU
RNAcentral lists this ribosomal RNA (614 nucleotides) under Coleoptera sp. 27 KM-2017. RNAcentral's name for it is "partial 16S ribosomal RNA". The stretch from base 375 to 532 matches the Rfam family "Bacterial large subunit ribosomal RNA", at positions 2473 to 2632 of the family's 2925-position model. Lineage: Eukaryota; Metazoa; Arthropoda; Insecta; Coleoptera. The record is from RNAcentral.